RNAcentral lists this ribosomal RNA (497 nucleotides) under uncultured bacterium. RNAcentral describes it as "partial 16S ribosomal RNA". It matches the Rfam family "Bacterial small subunit ribosomal RNA", at positions 28 to 507 of the family's 1533-position model. The record is from RNAcentral.
GAUGAACGCUGGCGGCGUGCCUAAUACAUGCAAGUCGAGCGAACAGACGAGGAGCUUGCUCCUCUGACGUUAGCGGCGGACGGGUGAGUAACACGUGGAUAACCUACCUAUAAGACUGGGAUAACUUCGGGAAACCGGAGCUAAUACCGGAUAAUAUAUUGAACCGCAUGGUUCAAUAGUGAAAGACGGUUUUGCUGUCACUUAUAGAUGGAUCCGCGCCGCAUUAGCUAGUUGGUAAGGUAACGGCUUACCAAGGCAACGAUGCGUAGCCGACCUGAGAGGGUGAUCGGCCACACUGGAACUGAGACACGGUCCAGACUCCUACGGGAGGCAGCAGUAGGGAAUCUUCCGCAAUGGGCGAAAGCCUGACGGAGCAACGCCGCGUGAGUGAUGAAGGUCUUCGGAUCGUAAAACUCUGUUAUUCGGGAAGAACAAAUGUGUCAGUAACUAUGCACGUCUUGACGGUACCUAAUCAGAAAGCCACGGCUAACUACGUG